GACGAACGCUGGCGGCGUGCCUAACACAUGCAAGUCGAGCGAAUGAAGUUCCUUCGGGAACUUCUUUAGCGGCGGACGGGUGAGUAACACGUGGGCAACCUGCCUCAUAGAGGGGAAUAGCCUUCCGAAAGGGAGAUUAAUACCGCAUAAGAUUGUAGUACCGCAUGGUACAGCAAUUAAAGGAGCAAUCCGCUAUGAGAUGGGCCCGCGGCGCAUUAGCUAGUUGGUGAGGUAACGGCUCACCAAGGCGACGAUGCGUAGCCGACCUGAGAGGGUGAUCGGCCACAUUGGGACUGAGACACGGCCCACACUCCUACGGGAGGCAGCAGUGGGGGAUAUUGCACAAUGGGGGAAACCGUGAUGCAGCGACGCCGCGUGGAGUGAAGAAGGUUUUCGGAUUGUAAACUCCUGUCGUAAGGGACGAUAAUGACGGUACCUGACAAGAAAGCCACGGCUAACUACGUGCCAGCAGCCGCGGUAAAACGUAGGUGGCAAGCGUUGUCCGGAUUUACUGGGUGUAAAGGGAGCGCAGGCGGACCGUCAAGUUGGAAGUGAAAACUUUGGGCUCAACCCGUAAUCUGCUUUCAAAACUGCAGGCCUAGAGUAGUGCAGAGGUAGGGGGAUUUCCCGGUGUAGCGGUGGAAUGCGUAGAUAUCGGGAGGAACACCAGUGGCGAAGGCGGCUUUCUGGGCACCAACUGACGCUGAGGCUCGAAAGGGGGGGGAGCAAACAAGAUUAGAUACCCUGGUAGUCCACGCCGUAAACGAUGAAUACUAGGUGUAGGGGGUUGUCAUGACCUCUGUGCCGCCGCUAACGCAUUAAGUAUUCCGCCUGGGGAGUACGGUCGCAAGAUUAGAACUCAAAGGAAUUGACGGGGGCCCGCACAAGCAGCGGAGCAUGUGGUUUAAUUCGAAGCAACGCGAAGAACCUUACCUAGACUUGACAUCUCCAGCAUUACUCUUAAUCGAGGAAGUCCCUUCGGGGACAGGAUGACAGGUGGUGCAUGGUUGUCGUCAGCUCGUGUCGUGAGAUGUUGGGUUAAGUCCCGCAACGAGCGCAACCCUUAUUGUUAGUUGCCAUCAUUAAGUUGGGCACUCUAGCGAGACUGCCCGGGUUAACCGGGAGGAAGGUGGGGAUGACGUCAAAUCAUCAUGCCCCUUAUGUCUAGGGCUACACACGUGCUACAAUGGUCGGUACAAUAAGACGCAAGCCCGCGAGGGGGAGCAAAACUGGAAAACCGAUCUCAGUUCGGAUUGUAGGCUGAAACUCGCCUACAUGAAGCUGGAGUUGCUAGUAAUCGCGAAUCAGCAUGUCGCGGUGAAUACGUUCCCGGGCCUUGCACUCACCGCCCGUCA
RNAcentral lists this ribosomal RNA (1355 nucleotides) under uncultured bacterium. RNAcentral's name for it is "bacterial SSU rRNA". It matches the Rfam family "Bacterial small subunit ribosomal RNA", at positions 28 to 1399 of the family's 1533-position model. The record is from RNAcentral.